GGGAUGUGCCUUUAGUCAAGUGGUUAAGUCCACUUGACUCCGCCUUCUCCACCGGAGUUCGACUCCACUAAGUCGCGUUACCCCGCGUAAUAGGGAUUGGCUAUGAAUCGGGCCUUGUCGAUCCAAAGAUGUCAAAAAAAAAAAAGUAUUAACAUAUUUGGUUCUUUACACCAAAAAAAAAACAUACUCUUUGGUUGACUCACACAAAAUAACCAGGGAUAAAUAAUAAAAUUGAUGUAUUUGGUAUAUUUAUGAAGUUAUGGGCCUUAUUUAGAAUCACACGCUGAAUUCUGAAACCUUAUAAAUAGAAAACACAUAUAAUAAAUUUUCUUUU
RNAcentral lists this long non-coding RNA (334 nucleotides) under Arabidopsis lyrata. RNAcentral's name for it is "long non-coding RNA (ALYR_LNC001841)". The record is from RNAcentral. Lineage: Eukaryota; Viridiplantae; Streptophyta; Magnoliopsida; Brassicales; Brassicaceae.